GCAGGAAUGCAAGGUUUGAAGAGAGUAGAGAAAUUUUAAAAUUUCCAUCUGGAGGAUAGGAGGUAAUCUGCCUGGAGAAGCACUGUCAGAUGUCAGAGCAGUAUUGAGUAUGCACGUGAGAUUCAUCAUCAAGCUCUACAAGAUGGCCUUUGGCAGCUAACCAAGCUCACAUCCUCCCAAGUUCAAGUGCAAAAGUGAAGAUAGCAUCUCACCCACAAAGGUUCAAGAAAGACAGAAUUGUAUAACGAAAUAAAAAUGUGUAUGCAUAGGAACAGAGGCUUAAAAGUGACUGAUGUGUUUCAAAGCAGGCAAAGAUUUUGAUACAAAUAAAGUACUGAAAUGCAUGGUGGGGAAUGG
Molecule: long non-coding RNA, 357 nt
Filed under: Homo sapiens (human)
Lineage: Eukaryota; Metazoa; Chordata; Mammalia; Primates; Hominidae
Description: HSALNT0385085
Source: RNAcentral